GACGAACGCUGGCGGCGUGCCUAAUACAUGCAAGUUGAGCGCUGAAGGUUGGUACUUGUACCAACUGGAUGAGCAGCGCACGGGUGAGUAACGCGUGGGGAAUCUGCCUUUGAGCGGGGGACAACAUUUGGAAACGAAUGCUAAUACCGCAUAAAAACUUUAAACACAAGUUUUAAGUUUGAAAGAUGCAAUUGCAUCACUCAAAGAUGAUCCCGCGUUGUAUUAGCUAGUUGGUGAGGUAAAGGCUCACCAAGGCGAUGAUACAUAGCCGACCUGAGAGGGUGAUCGGCCACAUUGGGACUGAGACACGGCCCAAACUCCUACGGGAGGCAGCAGUAGGGAAUCUUCGGCAAUGGACGGAAGUCUGACCGAGCAACGCCGCGUGAGUGAAGAAGGUUUUCGGAUCGUAAAACUCUGUUGGUAGAGAAGAACGUUGGUGAGAGUGGAAAGCUCAUCAAGUGACGGUAACUACCCAGAAAGGGACGGCUAACUACGUG
RNAcentral lists this ribosomal RNA (497 nucleotides) under uncultured bacterium. RNAcentral describes it as "partial 16S ribosomal RNA". It matches the Rfam family "Bacterial small subunit ribosomal RNA", at positions 28 to 507 of the family's 1533-position model. The record is from RNAcentral.